This 460-nucleotide ribosomal RNA is filed under the name uncultured bacterium. Its description in RNAcentral is "partial 16S ribosomal RNA". It matches the Rfam family "Bacterial small subunit ribosomal RNA", at positions 338 to 795 of the family's 1533-position model. The record is from RNAcentral.
CCUACGGGGGGCAGCAGUGAGGAAUAUUGGGCAAUGGACGAGAGUCUGAACCAGCCAAGUAGCGUGAAGGAUGACUGCCCUAUGGGUUGUAAACUUCUUUUAUAUGGGAAUAAAAUGUUCCACGUGUGGGAUUUUGUAUGUACCAUAUGAAUAAGGAUCGGCUAACUCCGUGCCAGCAGCCGCGGUAAUACGGAGGAUCCGAGCGUUAUCCGGAUUUAUUGGGUUUAAAGGGAGCGUAGGUGGAUUGUUAAGUCAGUUGUGAAAGUUUGCGGCUCAACCGUAAAAUUGCAGUUGAAACUGGCAGUCGUGAGUACAGUAGAGGUGGGCGGAAGUCGUGGUGUAGCGGUGAAAUGCUUAGAUAUCACGAAGAACUCCGAUUGCGAAGGCAGCUCACUGGACUGCAACUGACACUGAGGCUCGAAAGUGUGGGUAUCAAACAGGAUUAGAUACCCUAGUAGUC